Molecule: ribosomal RNA, 459 nt
Filed under: uncultured bacterium
Lineage: Bacteria
Description: partial 16S ribosomal RNA
Rfam family: Bacterial small subunit ribosomal RNA
Source: RNAcentral
CCUACGGGAGGCAGCAGUGAGGAAUAUUGGUCAAUGGCCGAGAGGCUGAACCAGCCAAGUCGCGUGAGGGAAGACGGCCCUACGGGUUGUCAACCUCUUUUGUAGGGGAGCAAAGCGAACCACGUGUGGUUCAUUGAGAGUACCCGAAGAAAAAGCAUCGGCUAACUCCGUGCCAGCAGCCGCGGUAAUACGGAGGAUGCGAGCGUUAGCCGGAUUUAGUGGGUUUAAAGGGUGCGCAGGCGGAGGUGCACGUCAGCGGUCAAAUGGCGGGGCUCAACCCCGUACUGCCGUUGAAACUGCAGCCCGUGAGUGCGCGAGAAGUAUGCGGAAUGCGGGGUGUAGCGGUGAAAUGCAUAGAUAUCACGCAGAACUCCGAUUGCGAAGGCAGCAUACCGGCGCGCAACUGACGCUCAUGCACGAAAGCGUGGGUAUCGAACAGGAUUAGAUACCCCAGUAGUC